RNAcentral lists this ribosomal RNA (600 nucleotides) under uncultured bacterium. Its description in RNAcentral is "bacterial SSU rRNA". It matches the Rfam family "Bacterial small subunit ribosomal RNA", at positions 65 to 608 of the family's 1533-position model. The record is from RNAcentral.
UGAGAAGUGGGAAGUAGGAAGUGAGAUAAAGAAGGAAUUGGCCUUGGCCAAUUCCAACAAAAAUCUCACCUCCAACCUCUCGCCUCUCACUUCCCAGAUCAGCGGCGGACGGGUGCGUAACGCGUGGAUAACCUGCCCAAAAGACCGGGACAACGCCGGGAAACUGGCGCUAAUACCGGAUACGCUCCCUCCCCCGCCUGGGGGAAGGAGGAAAGGGGUAACCCGCUUUUGGAUGGGUCCGCGUCCCAUUAGCUUGUUGGCGGUGUAACGGCCCACCAAGGCGACGAUGGGUAGCCGGCCUGAGAGGGCGGCCGGCCACACUGGGACUGAGACACGGCCCAGACUCCUACGGGAGGCAGCAGUGGGGAAUCUUCCGCAAUGGGCGCAAGCCUGACGGAGCAACGCCGCGUGAGCGAAGAAGGCCUUCGGGUUGUAAAGCUCUGUCUGGGGGGACGAAGACCUGACGGUACCCCCGAAGGAAGCCCCGGCUAACUACGUGCCAGCAGCCGCGGUAAAACGUAGGGGGCGAGCGUUGUCCGGAAUUACUGGGCGUAAAGGGCGUGUAGGCGGCUCAAGCAGUCAGGGGUGAAAUACCGCGGC